Molecule: ribosomal RNA, 449 nt
Filed under: uncultured bacterium
Lineage: Bacteria
Description: bacterial SSU rRNA
Rfam family: Bacterial small subunit ribosomal RNA
Source: RNAcentral
UCGGGAAUUUUGGGCAAUGGACGAAAGUCUGAUCGAGCGACGCCGCGUGUACGAUGAAGUUUUUCGGAAUGUAAAGUACUUUUAUGAGGGAAGAACGUUGACGGUACCUCAUGAAUAAGUGGUUGCUAACUCUGUGCCAGCAGCAGCGGUAAUACAGAGACCACAAGCGUUAUCCGGAAUUAUUGGGCGUAAAGGGUGAGUAGGUGGUAUUGUUAGUCGGGUUUGAAAGAUCGUGGGCUCAACCCAUGAUAUGGACCCGAAACGGCAAAACUAGAAUAUGUAAGAGGUUAGUGGAACUAUAUGUGUAGGGGUAAAAUCCGUUGAUAUAUAUGGGAACACCUAAAGCGAAGGCAGCUAACUGGUACAUUAUUGACACUGAAUCACGAAAGCGUGGGUAGCGAUACGGAUUAGAUACCCAUGUAGUCCCUGAGCGGGCUGGCAAGGCGCAU